This 257-nucleotide unclassified non-coding RNA is filed under the name fungal sp. RNAcentral's name for it is "partial internal transcribed spacer region". The stretch from base 1 to 46 matches the Rfam family "Eukaryotic small subunit ribosomal RNA", at positions 1786 to 1831 of the family's 1831-position model. The record is from RNAcentral. Lineage: Eukaryota; Fungi.
AAGUCGUAACAAGGUUUCCGUAGGUGAACCUGCGGAAGGAUCAUUACAGAGUUCAUGCCCUCACGGGUAGACCUCCCACCCUUGUGUAUCUAUACCAUGUUGCUUUGGCAGGCUGCUGCCCCCCCCUCGGGGGACAGCCUCGGCGCCCUCGGGCCUGAGAGUCGCCUGCCGGAGGAAAAACAAACUCUGAAUGUUAGUGUCGUCUGAGUACUAUAUCUUAAUAGUUAAAACUUUCAACAACGGAUCUCUUGGUUCUG